This is a small nucleolar RNA of Equus asinus (donkey), 75 nucleotides long. The record is from Ensembl. Lineage: Eukaryota; Metazoa; Chordata; Mammalia; Perissodactyla; Equidae.
UGGACCAGUGAUGAUAACUGGUGGCGUUUGAGUCAUGGAUGAUAAAUAAAAUGUGUCUGAAACUCUGAGGUCCAA